Molecule: non-coding RNA, 1740 nt
Organism: Pelodiscus sinensis (Chinese soft-shelled turtle)
Lineage: Eukaryota; Metazoa; Chordata; Testudines; Trionychidae
Source: RefSeq, a predicted model, not a curated record
CACAACACGGCCACCAGUGACUGCCCAACCAGAGUGAACCCAGGGCCGCAAGAGCGUACGGCCCCCCACUGCAUCACAACAACAUCCCCUGGCAAGGAGUUCCACAGGUUGACUGCACUGCAUGCUGAAAAACGUGCUUUGGCUUCUUUUAAACCUGCUGCCUGUUCAUUUCAUCGGCUGAACCGUCCUGUCCGGUUAAUCUCUCCACGUGUCGCCCUUCUCCGCAUGGCCCCAUGGAGACCCGCGGAUGUGGCAGCUGCCAGUGUAACCCGGUGCCCCCGGACCUGCAGUAGGGCAAGCCGAGACUGGAGCGCAGCUGCACUGGCCCCAGGCCGGGCCCCGGCUCCCGGACACGCCCUCGAGGGGAGCCGCAGACAGGCAUAUCACCCUCCCCCUCCCCCUUCAAAGCUCUGGGCAGCAUCUGACAGCUGUGAGCUGCUCCGUUUGGGGGACAAUUCACCAGAGUGCUCCUGUUCUGUUGCUGCAGAAGGAGGGCUGGACAGGUGGCUGUGACAUUCCUCAGCACAGAGAGCUCCCGACCUACGAGGGAAUCCCAAGGAGCACCAGGAUCAGCUCUGCCUUCCCAGCACACUGCACAGUGGGGUUGCCCCAAAUUCUGUACCACGUGGGCCAUGCGAGGUGUCAAAUGAAAGCUGAUGCUCUACUGAUUGUGUAUCUGACUCUCACGUACUUGUGUGAUCCCUGUAUGUGGAGCGAUGGGUACGAGCUCUGUGCUUGUGCAGGGAAUUUUCUGUUUGAGACAGAGCAAUGGGCCUGAACUGCAGGCUGUGAGGAAGGCUUGUUCAGUGCCUGGCGGUGCUCACUUGCCCUGCUGCAUGAACAAUGGCUUUCCGAGAGGCCAACACGCACCUGAGGGAUGUGUCUGGAACCCUACAGACCAGUCAGUAUCUAAUGGCAGCUGGCAUGUGAAAUAUGCCAUCAUGUGACCAGCUCCAGUUUGGGAGACACCAGGGAUGGAUAUAAAAUCUCAUGUGGUGGUCUCCAUCUUCAAUUCUGCUACUGAUCCCAGAUGCAGCCUUGCGAGGGACAGAGAGCCGGGAAGGAUUUCUGACCCAGCCUGACACAGGAUGGACACCAGAGACUUCUAAGCCAGCAGUUUGGAACAUCUCUGCUGAGCGCCUGCAUCGAGAACUGGGGGACUGGUGCGUGUGACGGAUUCGCCUUAACAACCUCACUCCACCUUUUCUUUCUUUGGUUAAUAAACCUUUAGAUGGUAGAUUCUGAAGGAUCAGCUCAGUGUGAUUUGUGGGUAAGAUCCAGAGAGUAAAUUGACCUUGGAUCUGUGGCUGGUUUCUUGGGGCCGGAAGAACCCGUUCGGGGGAGGUGAGGUUGGAUUCUAUAUCCCCUCACCUGUGUGUUUGGGGCGCAGGGAGAGCUGGGAUGCCCGAGGGGUUUUGCUCGUGAGGCUGCCUGCUGGCGGAUUGGCAGCUCGAGUUCUCGGUGUGACUGGCAUGUGGCCUGUUUGGGAAGGGUCCCCAGUCUGGGGCAAUUUGCCCUGAGCGGACGCCCUCAGCAGCGCGCAGGCCCGGCCCGGCCCGUCACAGCCCCACGGCACAUUGUAGUGACACCCCACAGCAGGUUCUCACUUGGUGUGCACGACGGACGGACACAUCGGGAGAGAGAAGCGACUUCCUGCGGCUCAGCCUCUUCCCCCCGGGCUCCUGGGCCCUGCUUCAGCCGUACGCUCACUGGCCGACGGGACACACGUGGCACUACCCC